CCCCUCUCAGGGUCACACCUGGAGAAUUUCCAGUACUCUACCAGUAUCGACUACGGGAGGGAGAGCCAAGCAGAGGCCUACCCAUUCCAUUCCUAAAUUGGGCAAAGGCUAGCGAGUGGAAGGCAAUCUGCUACAAGU
Molecule: small nucleolar RNA, 138 nt
Organism: Ornithorhynchus anatinus (platypus)
Lineage: Eukaryota; Metazoa; Chordata; Mammalia; Monotremata; Ornithorhynchidae
Source: RefSeq, a predicted model, not a curated record